GUCAACUCCUUAUUAUCUGUAGAAAGCUUACUUGAAUGGUUACCAAUCUUCAGUAAGUAUUGCCUUUAUAUAUUUGCUGUUAUUGCAGAUUCUUCUUAAUUAAGUUCUUUGUUGAUGCAGUUUUUGUUUAUUCUUACAUCUUAGAAGCAGUCUGAGGGAGCAGGAAAGACCUUUUGAAAACAAAGCAGUUACUUCCCAUAUUCAGAGAAAGUGUAAGUCAAGUGGACAGUUAUCUAAAGGGGGCACAGAAUGCCAUGUAUAGUAUGGUUGAUGGUGCCAGUCUCUAGCUUGAAGUCAAAAGUAGAAGUUUAAUAAAGACAAAAGUGUGUUCAUUGUGGGAGACAUUGUUUUAUUUAAUUUUCCAAUCAUUUCGUUUUGGUUUGAAGUGCAUUUUGGUUAUUCAGCAAAUAGAAUAUUUACUUUAUCAGGCAAUGAAAAUACAAAAUUGGCUCAUUUUUAAAAUGUGUUGGAUUCUCAAACAGAAGGAAGAACAGGUUCUUAGAGAAAUCCGCCCCACCCCCCACCCCCCGAUGCUUUUGAAUUAAGAAAUUCUAAGACUUGUAUGAUUGGGUAUGUUUGUGAUUACCCAGCAGGGUCAUAAGAAAUAACAUACUUUAUCCCAAGUAUAGAAAUCCUCUGGUUGUCAUGGGGGACCUUGAAUCUGCAACACAUUUGGCGAUUAGUUGGCGAUUAGCUUAAGGUAGCUUCAUGACAUUGUGGGGGAAGAUGAAUCAGCCAGGCUGUUAAUGUCAAAAAUACAGUUUCUAUGACUCCACCCCCUUAGGAUGAACUCCAGAGGCUGCAGUGAGAAGUGAAGUACCCAAGGAGGCCAGCUCAUUUCACACAGUGGGAACCACGCCAUCCACAAGCCUUCUGCACCUCGCCCAGCACCUCCUGAACAAAGGCCUCUGGCUGCCAGGAGGGUUUGCUAGCAGCAGAGUACAGGAGACGUGCCAGCACCAAGCCUCCCUCUUGAUGGAAAGGCAGCCCAAAGGGCAUGUCCUGUUAGCACCAGGUGGCCAAAGUAUUGGAGCUUCAGCUUCAGCAUCAGUCCUUCCAGUGAAUAUUCAGAGUUGAUUUCCUUUAGGAUGGACUGGAUUGACCUUGCUGUCCAAGGGUUCAUUGCACUAAUUAAUGUGGAUAACCAACAGUUGACUUUAAAACUGUUUACAUUUUGGCUUCCAUGCCUCUGGAGUAGGAUGAAAAUAUCUAAUAUUUUUUUUCCUGCGGUGAGCUGUCGGACUCUAUUUGCACAGUCUGCCUCUCCCAUCUGGCCUGGAAUGUUGGAUGGCAGUGUUCAGAAAGAGCAUUGUGUACACAGAAAUGCAACCUUCUCUCAUUGACCCCCUCGGAUCUGAUUUAUGCUUUGUCCCUCAGCUUCUUGGUACUUAGCUAUUCAGUUUGCAUUCCAUUUCACUGCAUUUUGUACUCACUGCAUUUUUGUUGGCUUGUUUUCCUCUUUGUAAGCAGAUUUUUUUAAUCUGAUAUAUGAAAGUAAAUUAAUAAUAAAUACUACCAUGUUUGUUUUGCUUUAAAAUUAUAAAGAAUAAACUGUAAGAUAGUUUCAUCUAUUUUGUUUUCUGAAUACAAUCAAUUAAAUCUGAC
Long non-coding RNA from Bos taurus (domestic cattle), 1605 nucleotides. The record is from Ensembl. Lineage: Eukaryota; Metazoa; Chordata; Mammalia; Artiodactyla; Bovidae.